RNAcentral lists this ribosomal RNA (67 nucleotides) under uncultured Mortierella. RNAcentral describes it as "partial 5.8S ribosomal RNA". It matches the Rfam family "5.8S ribosomal RNA", at positions 49 to 115 of the family's 154-position model. From Rfam's summary of the family: 5.8S ribosomal RNA (5.8S rRNA) is a component of the large subunit of the eukaryotic ribosome. It is transcribed by RNA polymerase I as part of the 45S precursor that also contains 18S and 28S rRNA. Functionally, it is thought that 5.8S rRNA may be involved in ribosome translocation. The record is from RNAcentral. Lineage: Eukaryota; Fungi; Mortierellomycota; Mortierellomycetes; Mortierellales; Mortierellaceae.
CGAAAUGCGAUACGUACUGUGAAUUNCGGAAUUCAGUGAAUCAUCGAAUCUUUGAACGCAUAUUGCG